GGGAUGCCUAUACAUGCAGUCGAACGAACUCUGGUAUUGAUUGGUGCUUGCAUCAUGAUUUACAUUUGAGUGAGUGGCGAACUGGUGAGUAACACGUGGGAAACCUGCCCAGAAGCGGGGGAUAACACCUGGAAACAGAUGCUAAUACCGCAUAACAACUUGGACCGCAUGGUCCGAGUUUGAAAGAUGGCUUCGGCUAUCACUUUUGGAUGGUCCCGCGGCGUAUUAGCUAGAUGGUGGGGUAACGGCUCACCAUGGCAAUGAUACGUAGCCGACCUGAGAGGGUAAUCGGCCACAUUGGGACUGAGACACGGCCCAAACUCCUACGGGAGGCAGCAGUAGGGAAUCUUCCACAAUGGACGAAAGUCUGAUGGAGCAACGCCGCGUGAGUGAAGAAGGGUUUCGGCUCGUAAAACUCUGUUGUUAAAGAAGAACAUAUCUGAGAGUAACUGUUCAGGUAUUGACGGUAUUUAACCAGAAAGCCACGGCUAACUACGUGCCAGCAGCCGCGGUAAUACGUAGGUGGCAAGCGUUGUCCGGAUUUAUUGGGCGUAAAGCGAGCGCAGGCGGUUUUUUAAGUCUGAUGUGAAAGCCUUCGGCUCAACCGAAGAAGUGCAUCGGAAACUGGGAAACUUGAGUGCAGAAGAGGACAGUGGAACUCCAUGUGUAGCGGUGAAAUGCGUAGAUAUAUGGAAGAACACCAGUGGCGAAGGCGGCUGUCUGGUCUGUAACUGACGCUGAGGCUCGAAAGUAUGGGUAGCAAACAGGAUUAGAUACCCUGGUAGUCCAUACCGUAAACGAUGAAUGCUAAGUGUUGGAGGGUUUCCGCCCUUCAGUGCUGCAGCUAACGCAUUAAGCAUUCCGCCUGGGGAGUACGGCCGCAAGGCUGAAACUCAAAGGAAUUGACGGGGGCCCGCACAAGCGGUGGAGCAUGUGGUUUAAUUCGAAGCUACGCGAAGAACCUUACCAGGUCUUGACAUACUAUGCAAAUCUAAGAGAUUAGACGUUCCCUUCGGGGACAUGGAUACAGGUGGUGCAUGGUUGUCGUCAGCUCGUGUCGUGAGAUGUUGGGGUUAAGUCCCGCAACGAGCGCAACCCUUAUUAUCAGUUGCCAGCAUUAAGUUGGGCACUCUGGGUGAGACUGCCGGUGACAAACCGGAGGAAAGGGGGGGGGAUGACGUUCAAAUCAUUCAUGCCCCUUAUUGACCUGGGGCUACACCCUGGCUACAAUGGGAUGGG
RNAcentral lists this ribosomal RNA (1239 nucleotides) under Lactiplantibacillus pentosus. Its description in RNAcentral is "bacterial SSU rRNA". It matches the Rfam family "Bacterial small subunit ribosomal RNA", at positions 41 to 1239 of the family's 1533-position model. Lineage: Bacteria; Bacillati; Bacillota; Bacilli; Lactobacillales; Lactobacillaceae. The record is from RNAcentral.